Molecule: ribosomal RNA, 48 nt
Filed under: Phytophthora ramorum (sudden oak death agent)
Lineage: Eukaryota; Oomycota; Peronosporomycetes; Peronosporales; Peronosporaceae
Description: partial 28S ribosomal RNA
Source: RNAcentral
UUGGACCUGAUAUCAGGCAAGAUUACCCGCUGAACUUUAAGCAUAUCA